RNAcentral lists this non-coding RNA (29 nucleotides) under Mus musculus (house mouse). Lineage: Eukaryota; Metazoa; Chordata; Mammalia; Rodentia; Muridae. The record is from RNAcentral.
UCUCACCUGCCUCAAUACUUCCCAGGGAG